RNAcentral lists this ribosomal RNA (253 nucleotides) under uncultured bacterium. Its description in RNAcentral is "partial 16S ribosomal RNA". It matches the Rfam family "Bacterial small subunit ribosomal RNA", at positions 524 to 776 of the family's 1533-position model. The record is from RNAcentral.
UACAGAGGGUGCGAGCGUUGUUCGGAAUUAUUGGGCGUAAAGGGCGCGUAGGCGGUGCGGUAAGUCACCUGUGAAAUCUCCUGGCUCAACUGGGAGCUUGCAGGCGAAACUGCCGUGCUGGAGCGUUGUAGAGGCGGGUGGAAUUCCGGGUGUAGCGGUGGAAUGCGUAGAGAUCCGGAAGAACACCGGUGGCGAAGGCGGCCCGCUGGGCAACUGCUGACACUGAGGCGCGACAGCGUGGGGAGCAAACAGG